Molecule: transfer RNA, 90 nt
Filed under: Synergistales bacterium
Lineage: Bacteria; Thermotogati; Synergistota; Synergistia; Synergistales
Description: tRNA-Ser
Rfam family: tRNA
About the family: Transfer RNA (tRNA) molecules are approximately 80 nucleotides in length. Their secondary structure includes four short double-helical elements and three loops (D, anti-codon, and T loops).
Source: RNAcentral
GGAGAAAUGCCGGAGUGGUCGAUCGGGGCGGUCUCGAAAACCGUUGUACCCUUACGGGUACCGGGGGUUCGAAUCCCUCUUUCUCCGCAA